Long non-coding RNA from Zonotrichia albicollis (white-throated sparrow), 377 nucleotides. RefSeq lists it as uncharacterized. The record is from RefSeq and is a predicted model, not a curated record. Lineage: Eukaryota; Metazoa; Chordata; Aves; Passeriformes; Passerellidae.
AAACAUCUGAAAUACAAGGCAGGAAGGAGAAGGGAUCUCUUCCUGCAGAUACAGCAUGAGAAGGAGAAAAAAGCUGGAAAUGAUAAAUCAUCCCUGGAAACAUAUAGCUGACUCAUGAGCUGGAAGACAGAAAACAAGAGGGCACCUCUCCUGCACACCAUGGAGAGGAACUGCUGCCAACUGCCAACCAUCAUUCCAGGUGAGGUUGCCUGCCCUUGGGAAUCUCUUCCUCCUUUCUCUAUCCAAAACCAUUUGCAUUCUUCCUCAAAAUGUUGCUGACACAGUCUCCUGUCCCACCAUCCCCAGCGUGCAAUUCACUGCAUGUUUUUUUGAGAAAUAAAAAUAAUGCAAAUUCAAGAUGUUAAUAAAACUUACGA